Molecule: long non-coding RNA, 1440 nt
Organism: Macaca mulatta (Rhesus monkey)
Lineage: Eukaryota; Metazoa; Chordata; Mammalia; Primates; Cercopithecidae
Source: Ensembl
CCUAUCUCUACAUAACAGAGCUGGUGCUUCAAGGAUCAAAUGAGAUUAUGUAUGUGAAAUCACCUUGAAAAGGACCAUGAAUGUAAGACACAAUUGCAGCUGCUGUGAAGCAAAUUUUGGAACAAUGGAUUGAUUCGUUGUAUAAAAGGAAUUAGCCUUGAGAUAAAACCAAGAUUGUAAAAAACUCUCCUGAAGAAAAUGCUGAGCAGCUACUUGUAAGUAGAACCAAAUCCUUCCAAGGAAGAUUUGGGAGAUAGUCAUAAGCUGGUAAAUACCUGGAGAUAAUCAUAAGCUGGGGUCAUGAUCUUUCCUUCCAUAAAGAAGGAUCAGGCCAAGAUGCAGAGACAAGGGACCUAUGCUGUGAACUAUUUCACAAGAAAGGGUCAGUUACUAUAACAAGAGCUAGUGAAGGUGGGAGGGGGCAGUGGAAUGAUUAUAUUUAGUAGACACUGGAAAAGGGAAAAGGAGAAAAGAGGUUGAUUAUCAGGUAAAGGCUGAAGAAGACAAUAAUCAGAGAUGCCUUGAGCGCUCGUCUCCCUUUGUUCUGAAGAAGAUUAAGCAAUGUACUAAUUGAUUUUUCCCCCACUGUGUCUGUUUUUGUCUUUGCAGAAUGGAGGCAUUGUAUGGGCCACUCCUUGAGGGAAACAAGCAUGAGGCAGGUCAGGAAAAGAAGGAAAGAGGCAGAACUUCCAAAGAACAGAUUUGUCAAGAAGAGGUAGGCACCUCAAAUAAAACUGCUCAGCAAUGGAGUGCUACCGUGUAAUAAAAAAGAAUGAACCACUGAUACACUCAACGACAUGAAUAACUCUCAAACUAUGCUGAAUGAAAAAAGCUGGACACCAAUGAAUACAUUCUGUAUGAUUCCAUUGGCAGAAAACUAGAAAAUGAAAACUAACCUGUAGUGACAAAAAACAGGUCAGUGGUUUUCCUUAUUACAAAGGUCCAUGAGGAAACUUUGGGAGGAAGAUGAAUAUGUUCAUUAUCUUGGUUGUAGUGAUAGUUUCAUGGGUGUGUACGUAUGUCUUGUAAGAUUGUGCACUUUAAAUACGGGAAGUUUAUUGUAGGUCAGUUGUAUUGCUCUAUGCAUGUUAUAUUCCUCUAUAUACAUAUUAUUUCCAGAAAAACAUAAUUUCCAGAAAAAACUGCUGAGCAACAUAGCACAUAAACAGGCAAUGGGCAGAGCUCUCAAGUGACUCUUCAAUUGGUGACUAUCUGACUCUCAGAGACAUUUUUGGGGACUAAGUUUCUUACUUGCUGCAAAUGUCAGCUCUGAAGAGCAAGAUUGUGUUUUCACUGAGUUGUGAAUACAGAAAUCAUAUAUUUGAAAUCUUAUGGCUAUGACCCAGUGAAUAUAGUUCCUUUUUUAAAAUUUUAAUUUCAUAACCUUUGGUCUGGUUACUAGACAUAGGCUGCACAGUAAAUCAAAACAAGAACUUGUUC